This 346-nucleotide ribosomal RNA is filed under the name uncultured bacterium. Its description in RNAcentral is "bacterial SSU rRNA". It matches the Rfam family "Bacterial small subunit ribosomal RNA", at positions 917 to 1269 of the family's 1533-position model. The record is from RNAcentral.
GGGCCCGCACAAGCAGUGGAGCAUGUGGUUUAAUUCGAUGCAACGCGAAGAACCUUACCAGGGCUUGACAUACUACAAAUCUUUUAGAGAUAGAAGAGUGCUUUCGAGAAUGUAGAUACAGGUGGUGCAUGGCUGUCGUCAGCUCGUGUCGUGAGAUGUUGGUUAAGUCCCGCAACGAGCGCAACCCUCGUUUUUAGUUGCCAAUUUAUUGGUUUUUUAGAAAGACUGCCGGUGACAAACCGGAGGAAGGUGAGGAUGACGUCAAGUCAGCAUGCCCCUUAUGUCCUGGGCUACACACGUGCUACAAUGAUGGGGACAAAGAGUUGCCAAUCCGCGAGGAUGAGCU